Molecule: transfer RNA, 73 nt
Filed under: Bos taurus (domestic cattle)
Lineage: Eukaryota; Metazoa; Chordata; Mammalia; Artiodactyla; Bovidae
Also listed under: 5 other names
Rfam family: tRNA
About the family: Transfer RNA (tRNA) molecules are approximately 80 nucleotides in length. Their secondary structure includes four short double-helical elements and three loops (D, anti-codon, and T loops).
Source: Rfam by way of RNAcentral
UCCCUGGCGGUCCAGUGGUUAGGACUCCACACUUCCACUGCAGGGAACACAGGUUCGAUCCCUGGUUGGGGAA